Camellia sinensis is the source of this 1862-nucleotide non-coding RNA. The record is from RefSeq and is a predicted model, not a curated record. Lineage: Eukaryota; Viridiplantae; Streptophyta; Magnoliopsida; Ericales; Theaceae.
UAUUAUUUUUUUAAAGUAUUUUUACAGCCACAAAAUCUUACCAAAUCCAGCCCUAUAAGUCUAUUGUUGCUAUUGCCAGUAUACUUAAACGGGCUCACUAGUUGUUGGAAAGUAAUCCCUACUCGUGCUACAUCAGGAUCCUCACUUUGGGCAAGAGUGCAAAUAAAAACGAGUUCUCAGAUCCUAAGCGUGGUACCAAUUGCUCUCUUUUAGAGAAGACUUGUGAUUUAAUAAAAAUUUCCCAAGUAUUUUGAUGUGGUUGUUAGUGUUGCAUGAGAAAUUGAUGGCCGACAUUGGGCAGAUUUGUUUUCUACUACCGGAAGAUCAAAGGAGUUGUUUGAGGAAUGCUUCCAACAGAGAUGGUACUGGACAACAGCUUGCUAUAUUCUUGUGAUCGCUAAACUUGAGGGUCCUCUUUCCUCUUUCUGCAAGAUGGUUAAUACCGUAACAGUUUUCUUCUAAUGUUGAUCUUUCUCCUUUAUUCUCAGGUGAGGCUUCUGCUCAGAUCUGGAACGGAAUAUGAACCUUCAACGACAGAUUCAGACAAACUAUAGCCUAGAUUCUUGGGAUAGUUUCUUUUCCCUAAUGUAAUGUUCUAGAAAUAAAUUGGUUAUUCUUUAGCUCAUUGUGAUUUAGUUGUAACCAAUUUUUGAUUUUGUUUCGAGGGAGAGUUUGUUAGUUCAGUUAGACGGUUAGGAGUUGAUUCUAGCUAUAGAUAGCUGUGUUACAGAGAGGAAAGGUAUGCAUUUUGUAAUAUGAUAUUUUCUUGGUUUGGAAUAAGAGAGAGAGAGAGAGAGAGAGAGCUCUGUUUAUAUUCCCUUUUUCUUUCUAUUUUCCAUUUUAGCUUUCUUCUUCCAUAGUUGUAAAAUUGGUAUCAGAGCAGGCAUUCUCGUCCUGUGAAAGAAAUCAAGAAAUGGCAGAUGGGACUAGGCAGUAGGAAUAAAAAAUAAUGGAGGAGGCAAUUCGAUCUCUCAAAGAGAAUGGCGAAAAGCAAGCACAGGAUAUUAGGGAUAUCAAGAAAUCAAUGAACGAUAUCAAUGAAAUCAAAGAGAUGAUCACAGCAAUGAGCAUCAAAUACGAUCAGGUGGCAUCUAGGGUUUAUGAGUCUCAUCAAGAGAUCGAGGAAACAUCUCAGGUAUGGGUUCAAAACCCUGAAUCAUUCAAUCAAUUUCAAACUCGUUAUACUAGAAUUGAUUUUCCCAAAUUCUGUGGGAAAGAUCCAUUGGGUUGGAUUUACAAAUGUAAGAGAUUCUUUGAUUAUAAUGCAAUUGAAAAUGGAAAUGGGGUAAAAUUGGCUUCACUGCAUUUGGAAAACAAAGCCCUUCAAUGGUUCCAAUGGUUUGAGAAAUGUCACAAUCAAAUCAAUUGGAACACAUUCAAAGAGGGAGUAGUUUCCAGAUUUGGCCCUAAUUCCUAUGAAGAUGAGAUGGGGGAUUUAACGAAGUUAAGGCAAGUCACAUCUGUUAGGGCUUACCAAAUUUGCCAGAAACCUUCUUCAUUAGUUGCUUCAUUAGUGGCUGAAGGGAUGAUAUCAAGGCUGGGGUAUUGAUGUUUAAACCCACUGGCAUCAACCAGGCUAUUGGAUUGGCCAAGUUACAAGAGAGCAGUAUUGAAACCAUUGCCAAGAGAUCUAGACAAGGGUUUAGGGUGGAAGAAACUCCAUCAUCUAGUUUGUCCAGGCCUAACCAGAUGGUGAGUUCCAUAGCCCCUAAUCGAAGAGAAUUACGCAAGGAGUUGGCAGAAAAGAGAGCAAAAGGCAUGUGUUUCAAAUGUAAUGAAAGGUAUACAAGAGGCCGUAUCUGCAAAAGAAAGCAGCUGUAUGCUAUGGAAGGGGAAAUAGAAGACCAAGACCAAGAAGAAGA